CGACGAAUGAUGGAAACAAUAUAAUGAAUAUUUAUGAAAUUUGCAUUAUGAGAAAUGUUGAAUUAAAAUUGAAUUGAAGUCCGGCAAUAAUAUUAAAUUUUAAAAAUUUUGUAUAACAACUGUAUAGAGCGACUAGAAAGCUAGAAAAAAGAGCAAAGAAAAGCAAUAACUUAACUUAACAAAUGAGAGUUAAUCGAUUAUUAGUAUUAGAACGUAUACUGUAAGGUUGAAACUAUCUACAAUUAGCAAUCGCAGCACACACACACACACACACACACACACACACAUGUACUAUAAACGAAAAGGUAAACCCAAAAAUACAUACAAAAAUAUAUAUAAAGUUUAAAAAUAUACAAUAUACAUAUUAAAUGCUUACACUUUACAUGCAACAACAUUGUUUUUCAUUUAUAAACUUAUUCUCAAUAUGCUUUGCACAUAUAUUUUCUCUCGUUUUUUACGAUUCUGGACUCUGUGUGUAUUUGUUUCUUGUGCAUUUUGUUUAUUUCUUCAACAAUUAUGGUGCUGAGUGAUUUUAGAUGGAAAUACAAAAUAAAGCCAGCCGUAAGAUGAACCCAAAGCAAUUCGAAUAUUGUGAUAGCCCACACACACGCACACCCAAACACACACACACACGAGAUUCAUUAAUUUUGCUCAAAGGAUAUUGGAAAAUAACGAGAAAUCAAAUUCAUAUUGAGAUCCAGACAACUAUACAUAGCAUAACGUGUAUCGAAAAGCAAUAAAACGUAGUGGUAAAAGAUAUACAUAAAUAGAGUAUAAUACUUAGGGAAGUGCAAACCAGGAGGGGGGGAGUGGCAGAGGAAUAUUUUGAGAUUUUUAACUAAUAGUAAAUAGAAUUGCCCCCAGCCCAGCCCAGCCCAGGCAUAUGCAUAAACACAUACAGAAUAUAUUUCCUUCAUUUGGAAAGGCUUUAAUCCAAAAUUUGGUUAUCGAAGUUUGUCCAAUCACGCACACACACACACACACACAUGUUAUGGGUGUUCUCUCCAGGAUCAUGAUGUACUGUUAUACAAAAGGAAAUUGUUAAAGUUGAUACAUUUUUAGCAUAGUAUUUAGCACACACACAAACACAAAAUUGUAAUCGUAAUCGCAAUCGGAACGGGAAUGAGAACGAGAACGAGAACGCAACCUGGAAAUGCAAUUGUUGAAAUGGUUCAGUAUUUGUGGCAUUAGGUUCAUGAUCCAUUGUUUCCAUUAUCUGUUGCUGUUGCUGACAACCCUUCGCCCCCAUUCCCACACCCACACACCUACACCCCGUUCCAUUCCGCUUCUGCCAGUGCCAGUGCCACAGCAACACAAUGUUGUGUUGUCCUUUUUUGUGUCAAUGCAGUUUAACGAGCGCUCGUUAGGCGUACUCGAACAAAGGGGAAAUGUAAUAAAAAGAGGAACAGCUCCAUGAAUGAGAGAGCACGAGAGAAUGGUAAUGGGCAUAAAGAGAGGGGCAGAUGAUGCCAUGCCAACACUGCACGUGGCGUGGCGUGGCCCACAGAGUCCACAACGCAUUCCACACAGAAGAGAAGGGUGGUGCGAGCUAACGUUAGGGUGAUGCAGUGAGCACUUGAUUCGAAAAUUUAAUUUGCCUUCCACGUGAUUUAUUUAUUUUCUAUACCCACUACACGUACACACACACACUCACACACAACAAGCAAUGUAUAAAUAAUUGGGCAACCAAAACAAACAAUGAUUAACUAUUAGCAAAAGCAAAAGCAAAAGCAAAAUUAAUAAGACUUGGCACGUUAACACUAAUAAUUCAAGAAUUGAACAUAAACUAGUAACGAAAUUCGAAAGUAAAAGAAUUGAGAAAUCAAACAACCAAAAGCAGAAACAACGAAUAAACAGCAAAAGAACAAAAAUGAAAGACUUGACACUUUGAAUAUAUAUUAUUGUAGUAUAUAUUAUGAAUCGAAAAUGGAGAGCAAUAUGUGGAGGCAACAAACUUAUUUACAGCUAUUGUAUAUGGUAUAUAAUCAUAGAGAAGAAUUAACGAUAAAAAGCAAUACAACAGAAACAGAAACAGCAACAAAGGCAAAAGCAAAAGCAGAAGCAAAAGCAACAGCAGAAGCAAUAGAGCAUUAAGGUAACUCAAAAGUAUUAAAUCGCAUGUAUCUAUGAGUAAAUAUUUGGAAUUCGUUAUAUUAUUGCGAUAAGUAAGCGAAAACCCCAAACAUUUAUGGCACUAUACACUAUAGCAUAAUAAAGAAUCGAUAUAUAUAUAUAUAUUGAUAUAUACCUAGUUUACAGAGAAAACCGAAUGGAAAACUGCUAGAGAGCAAACCAAAAAAAAAAAAAAAAUGGGAAUAAACAAGUACUAAGAAUUAAUUAAAGGCCGUAGGGAUUUUGGAUUUAGCUGGCAUAUGAUGAAUUGAACGAUUUAACGAUUAUUAGUUAUCGAUAUACAGAUACAUACAUAUACAUAUAUAUUAACGGUAGAGUUGUUUUUGCAUAUAUUGUUAUCGCAACUUUUGUGCUGCUUGACGAGACCAAUUGAUGUACUUUAUACAACGAAAAACGAAAAACGAAAACGAAAACGAAAACCCAAAAAACCGUAAAACUGAAAAACCAAAAAACCAAAUGAAAAGGAAAAGGAAAACUCAUCUUAUGUUUUUGCAUAGGUGCAUUGUUGCGACUACACUACGGAAAUACACACCACACGGCGGAUACGAUACAUAGUCGAAAGAGUUACUGCGUAGAAAAUAAAUCCUGUAUUUUAUCCUGUAUUUAGAGCACAGACACAGACACAGACACAACUGUAGCAUUGUAGAAAAGUAGAGUUGCAAAGAGUAUAAAAAUUAUAAUUAAAACGAGACAAAAGCGAGACAUAAAUUUAAGCUUACGAUUAGACUAUGACUAAAACAAAACAACAACAAACACAGCACACUAGACGAAGCCAGCAAAAGAAUUCUGUACCUAGAACAAGAACAACAGCAGACACGAAACACACACACUCAUAAUUAUGUAUUUUAUUGCAUUGCAUCGAUUAAUAAUCGAAGAAUAUAUACAUUGAAAUAUAAAGCUAUAAAGCUAAACACCCACAGAGACACAGAGACACAGAGAAGAGCAAAAAUGCGUUUAUGAUAUAUGGAAGAAUACAUUCUAAAUUAUAAAUGACAUGCAUUAUGUAUAUGACAUUCAUGUGCAUCAUGCAGACAAACACACACACACACAAUCGAAGGUCCUGGCACUAUGUCAUUUGCCAGGGGCACCUCCGCCCUCGAAAGUCAAUUUUACCAAAUGGUCAAUUUCCAAUUACAAGGCAAGCGAAUCGUUUCAUGUUUUUCAGUAGUUUUUAUGCUAAGUUGUUGAAAAAUUGAGCAGCUAAUUAACCGAACGCAGAGCAACGAGAGAUGAACGAUGCACAAUGGUCGAG
This is a long non-coding RNA of Drosophila guanche, 3385 nucleotides long. RefSeq lists it as uncharacterized. The record is from RefSeq and is a predicted model, not a curated record. The transcript is spliced from 3 exons. NCBI's taxonomy places the organism in Eukaryota, Metazoa, Arthropoda, Insecta, Diptera, Drosophilidae.